AGCAGCCGCGGUAAUUCCAGCUCCAAUAGCGUAUAUUAAAGUUGUUGCAGUUAAAAAGCUCGUAGUUGAAUUUCGGGAUCAGUUGGUCGGUCGUGCCUCGGUACGUACUGGUCAAAUUGAUUCCUACCUUCUGACGAACCACGAUGUCAUUAAUUUGGUGUCGCGGGAAAUCAGGACUGUUACUUUGAAAAAAUUAGAGUGUUUAAAGCAGGCUCGCGCUUGAAUACAUUAGCAUGGAAUAAUGAAAUAGGACGUUUGAUUCUAUUUUGUUGGUUUCUAGGAUCGACGUAAUGAUUAAUAGGGAUAGUUGGGGGCAUUAGUAUUCAAUUGUCGGAGGUGAAAUUCUUGGAUUUAUUGAAGACUAACUACUGCGAAAGCAUUUGCCAAGGAUGUUUUCAUUAAUCAAGAACGAAAGUUAGGGGAUCGAAGACGAUCAGAUACCGUCGUAGUCUUAACCAUAAACUAUGCCGACUAGGGAUCGGAUGAUGUUAAUUUUUAAUGACUCAUUCGGCGCCUUACG
RNAcentral lists this ribosomal RNA (520 nucleotides) under uncultured Glomus. RNAcentral's name for it is "SSU rRNA". It matches the Rfam family "Eukaryotic small subunit ribosomal RNA", at positions 569 to 1092 of the family's 1831-position model. Lineage: Eukaryota; Fungi; Glomeromycota; Glomeromycetes; Glomerales; Glomeraceae. The record is from RNAcentral.